Molecule: long non-coding RNA, 1559 nt
Filed under: Homo sapiens (human)
Lineage: Eukaryota; Metazoa; Chordata; Mammalia; Primates; Hominidae
Description: non-protein coding TARID:19
Source: RNAcentral
AACCGGAGGGAAACUCAAUGCACAGACCCUGAUUUGCAACUUGUAAUGUAAAUCAACUCAACUGCAUCAUGUACUUACCAGCCACCUUCUCCCAACUGUGGCCGGGGCCGAGAAGCAGCAUGUUCUGUCCAUCUGUAAAAGGCCUUCUUUCUCUCUUAAGACGUCACAACUGGUUGUUACUGAGAACUUUAGAAAAACGACUAGAUCGUUUGGCUCUUUCUGGGCCUUCCACCUACACUCCAUGCCCUCUCUCCUCCCAAGAAAACACGAAUUAAAAUACAGGGAGUAUCAACCGCAUCCUGCCAACACCUCAUAAGACUCCAAGGCUUUACCGAGAUCUUCCACCUUCCCCGGGAUAAAUGAAGACAAGUGCUUCCUAGAAUCUUUAUGGUGAUGGAAAAGAUAUACUAAAAGAAGACAGAUCAGUCUCUCUCCUGAUAAGAAGAGUCACCAAGAGGAACAUCUGCAACAACUAGACAGAUGCUGCUACAAAGAGACCAAUCAACAACUGCUCAGCAGAGAUACAGAUCUGAAGCACAGAAGUGCAAUAGACCUUCCUGAUGCCUUCGCCAGGAGCAUGGAAUUCUUCCCAGAGUCACAGAAGAUGGCACAGCCUGGGGACAAUUGGGAAUCACCUGGAGGAUGGCAGACAACACGAACCUGCAAGUAAUCAUCCGACCAACUUCCUCUACUGCUUGGGAAUUGCAGGUUGUAUAAUCUUGGGAGGUCACUUCAACUAUACAAUUGGACUAAGAACACUGACUCUCGUGGGUGUUAUAAUUAAAUCAGAAUGCCAUAUUGGUUUCCAAGCAGACAUAAGCUGGCGAUGACUUUUUUGUACAAAAGUUACUGAUGAAAAGCUCAUAGAGGCAUUUGGAUUUCUUCAGGGUUGUAAAUCCAGGUAUGUUACUACUUUAUCUACUGGAAAUUGGGGUAAUGCAGGAGAUGGGAAAGCAUGAUGUUAAAUCAACUGGUGACCCCAAAUAAUUUUCCAUGGUGUUCAUCAGCCAUGCACACACUGUAUUACUGUCAUCAUUCCUAGCUUUUCCACUAUGCUGUCUCAAGUUUGCACAAAUUGUAAGUGAUUUUAAAUCAUUAACUGAUGUGACAUAAUCAAAUUACUUAGGGUUUUAUUUACUGUGCUCCGAGUAAUUCAGUUAUGACUUGGCAAGGUAUUUAACAGACAAUAGUGAAGUUACUACAAAUUCAACUUUGCAUUGGACAACUCCAUUUGAGGAUACCACCACCUUCAAAUUAACAAUUCCAGAAACUGGUCUCAGUAUCUCGUUCCAACAACAAGCAUCACCCACUACAAUAAAAACAGCAAGUAGAAUCUUUUUACUUCUUUUGUGUUUCUCAUCUCGGCAAACUGCACUACAAUCUACCAAACUGCCCGAGCCAGAAACCUAGAGGUCAGGCUGGAUUUUCCUGAGGACAUGAGGUGAAGAAGCAACCACUGCGAAGUACUAAGGGACUCAGAAUCAUGAACCACAGUUUGCAGAGAGAUCUGAUUUUUACAUGUUUGUUUGUGUGUGGCUUUAAGUAAUGUAAGUCAAUUA